UCAGACGAUGCGUCAUGCAUAUCAAUAAGCGGAGGAAAAGAAACUAACAAGGAUUCCCCUAGUAACGGCGAGUGAAGCGGGAAGAGCUCAAAUUUGAAAUCUUAAAGGGUUUCCCUUUACGAAUUGUAGUUUAAAGAAGUGUUUUCUGUUGAGGUUUUGGUAAAAGUUCUUUGGAAUAGGACAUCAUAGAGGGUGAGAAUCCCGUAUUUGACCUUUACUUUCAACUUUGUGAUACACUUUCAAAGAGUCGGAUUGUUUGGGAAUGCAGUCCAAAAUGGGUGGUAAAUUUCAUCUAAAGCUAAAUAUUGGCGAGAGACCGAUAGCGAACAAGUACCGUGAGGGAAAGGAUGAAAAGAACUUUGAAAAGAGAGUUAAACAGUACGCUGAAAUUGUCAAAAGGGAAGCGUUUGACACCAGUGUUGUUUUUCCUGAAAAUCAAUUAAAGAACUGUUUAUGCUAAGUUGUUUAGACUUUAUCAGCUAUCUGUUUAGUUUUGAGCUUUUCUUUAAUGCACUUUUCAGUUAACAAGUCAACAUCAAUUUCUUUUGCUGUAAAAAAGCUUGAGGAAGGUGGCUUGAGAUUCGUCUUAAGUGUUUAUAGCCUCUUGCCUAUGCAGUCGGAGAGAUUGAGGUCUGCAGCGUAGAUCCUUCGGGGCUAAAUGCAUUUGUGCUAAGUUAUAGCAUUUUAUAGACAACUUGUUGACUAUGAUUUGUCUUGUAGCUUACUCGCUUAUGUUAUUUUACCUACGCUUAGGAUGUUGACACACGCGCGUGCUCG
Molecule: ribosomal RNA, 777 nt
Filed under: uncultured Neocallimastigales
Lineage: Eukaryota; Fungi; Neocallimastigomycota; Neocallimastigomycetes; Neocallimastigales
Description: partial large subunit ribosomal RNA
Rfam family: Eukaryotic large subunit ribosomal RNA
Source: RNAcentral